RNAcentral lists this ribosomal RNA (490 nucleotides) under uncultured bacterium. Its description in RNAcentral is "partial 16S ribosomal RNA". It matches the Rfam family "Bacterial small subunit ribosomal RNA", at positions 29 to 505 of the family's 1533-position model. The record is from RNAcentral.
AGUGAACGCUGGCGGUAGGCCUAACACAUGCAAGUCGAACGGCAGCACAGUAAGAGCUUGCUCUUACGGGUGGCGAGUGGCGGACGGGUGAGGAAUACAUCGGAAUCUACUUUUUCGUGGGGGAUAACGUAGGGAAACUUACGCUAAUACCGCAUACGACCUACGGGUGAAAGCAGGGGAUCUUCGGACCUUGCGCGAUUGAAUGAGCCGAUGUCGGAUUAGCUAGUUGGCGGGGUAAAGGCCCACCAAGGCGACGAUCCGUAGCUGGUCUGAGAGGAUGAUCAGCCACACUGGAACUGAGACACGGUCCAGACUCCUACGGGAGGCAGCAGUGGGGAAUAUUGGACAAUGGGCGCAAGCCUGAUCCAGCCAUACCGCGUGGGUGAAGAAGGCCUUCGGGUUGUAAAGCCCUUUUGUUGGGAAAGAAAAGCAGCAGGUUAAUACCCCGCUGUUCUGACGGUACCCAAAGAAGAGGCACCGGCUAACUUCG